Molecule: ribosomal RNA, 424 nt
Filed under: uncultured Glomeromycotina
Lineage: Eukaryota; Fungi; Glomeromycota
Description: SSU rRNA
Rfam family: Eukaryotic small subunit ribosomal RNA
Source: RNAcentral
CGGUCCGCACUAGUGUGAUGGAUUCCUACCUUCUGAAUAACCAGCAUGUCAUUAAUUUGGUGCGUUGGGGAAGCAGGACUGUUACCUUGAAAAAAUUAGAGUGCUUAAAGCAGGCUAGUGCCUGAAUACAUUAUCAUGGAAUAAUGAAAUAGGACGGCAUGGUUCUAUUUUGUUGGUUUCUAGGAUCACCGUAAUGAUUAAUAGGGAUAGUCGGGGGCAUUAGUAUUCAAUUGUCAGAGGUGAAAUUCUUGGAUUUAUUGAAGACUAACUUCUGCGAAAGCAUUUGCCAAGGAUGUUUUCAUUAAUCAAGAACGAAAGUUAGGGGAUCGAAGACGAUCAGAUACCGUCGUAAUCUUAACCAUAAACUAUGCCGACUAGGGAUCGGACGAUGUUAAUUUUUUAAUGACUCGUUCGGCGCCUUACG